Molecule: long non-coding RNA, 96 nt
Organism: Pistacia vera
Lineage: Eukaryota; Viridiplantae; Streptophyta; Magnoliopsida; Sapindales; Anacardiaceae
Exons: 2
Source: RefSeq, a predicted model, not a curated record
CCACCAUAGUCGCACCAGGUCGUCGCCAUCCACCAUCCCAAACGCCCUUCACUCUACUAACAGAAGGAGGCCAGGGUAGAGGCGAAUAACCACCCC